UACAGAGGGGGCAAGCGUUGUUCGGAAUUACUGGGCGUAAAGGGCGCGUAGGCGGCCUUCUAAGUCGAACGUGAAAUCCCUGGGCUCAACCCAGGAACUGCGUCCGAUACUGGAAGGCUUGAAUCCGGGAGAGGGAUGCGGAAUUCCAGGUGUAGCGGUGAAAUGCGUAGAUAUCUGGAGGAACACCGGUGGCGAAGGCGGCAUCCUGGACCGACACUGACACUGAGGAGCGAAAGCCAGGGGAGCAAACGGG
RNAcentral lists this ribosomal RNA (253 nucleotides) under uncultured bacterium. RNAcentral describes it as "partial 16S ribosomal RNA". It matches the Rfam family "Bacterial small subunit ribosomal RNA", at positions 524 to 776 of the family's 1533-position model. The record is from RNAcentral.